AAAGUAUCUAUUCGUUACAAAGUACUCGUUACUUACGAAUACCGAAAGUAACGAUUACUAUACAGAGAGGCAAAUCGUUACUUUGAUUACUCUGAUUACUUCGUUACUUCGUACCAAUCGUAUCAGAGCGAGUAACGACUAUUGUAUCUACAACCAGUACACUUGAUUACUUUCUACCAAUCAUAUCCCAGCGAGUAACGGACGGGACCGGUAUUUUACGAGUGUUAUCGAAUAUCGUUAUCGGUAUGAAGCGUUUUAAGGGUGUGAGGGUGAGGAGAAGAUAGAAGAUGAACCAGAUGGAGGUAUAAUGGUAUACGUAAAAUAUGUAAUGUAUGUCAUUAACAAAGAUCGAAUGCGAGAACCCUAUAUUUUUAUCUAGAGUAGUAGAGAUAUGAGAAUCUGAGAUCCAAGAUGGCGGCCAGCUUGAUGGCUAGGAUGGCGUUGAGGCCGUAGAAGUAGCCUCUGGUGAUGUACAAGAAGUACACCCUGUCGUUAUAAAAGAAUCCCUGUCGUUAAGAAGUACACCCUGUCGUUAUACAAGAACCCUGUCGUCAUAGGGGUGAGAAGUAGACGUGUUGCAAUGAGGCGGCUAGGAUGGCGUUGGGGCCGUAGCCUCUGGUACAAGAAGAACCCUGUCGUUAUAAAAGAACCCUGUCGUUAUACAAGAAGUACACCCUGUACAGGAUGGCGUUGAGGCCGUAGAAGUAGCCUCUGGUGAUGUACAAGAAGUACACCCUAUAAAAGAACCCUAUCGUUAAGAAGUACACCCUGUCGCACCCUGUCGUCAUAGGGGUGAGAAUUCGUGUUGGCGGCCAGCGGCGUUGGGGCCUCUGAAGAAGAACCCUAUAAAAGAACCCUGUCGUUAAGAAGUACACCCUGUCGCACCCUGUCGUCAUAGGGGUGAGAAGUAGACGUGUUGGCGGCCAGCGGCGUUGGGGCCUCUGAAGAAGAACCCUAUCGUUAUAAAAGAACUCUAAGAAGUACACCCUGUCGCACCCUGUAGGGGGUGAGAAUUCGUGUUGGCGGCCAGCGGCGUUGAGGCCUCUGAAGAAGAAUCCCAUAGGGUGGGGCCUCCGGGGGCGGUAAAAAUUGCGUUAUGUAACAAAAUUAGGCAAUGUAGAUACGCAAGCCAAAAAGCAACGAUUUUUUAGUAUUAUAAUUUCAUACAAACGAAUGCACCCCGCCUGCAUUCUACAAUGUGCUUUUAGAAUUCAAAGAAAAAUACGUGAGUACCUCCAAGUAAUAAAAAUAUAUUGCAAUGUGGACGCAACGGCAACUAUAAAUAUUAUAUGUCGUUCCCACGAGUGAACCGGAUACAUCCACAUUCCAAUGAUGUCAUACGUUAAUGCACGUGUGGCGAAAUGAGUGAACCGCGGGAAAUACGCUGACAGUAACUAUAAAUAUUAUAUGUCGUUCCCACGAGUGAACCGGAUACAUCCACAUUCUAAUGAUGUCAUACGUUAAUGCACCAACUAUAAAUAUUAUAUGUCGUUCCCACGAGUGAACCGGAUACAUCCACAUUCCAAUGGUUUGCAAAUUACUAGUUAAAGGAUGUACAAAUUCUAUAAAUAUUAUGCACAUGUCGUUCCCACGAAUUAAGUGCAAAUGUUUUUUAAUCGUUUGCAAAUUACUAGUUAAAAGAUGCAAUUAAAACGUGAAUGUGUUCACGAGGCAUUUCCGGAGUAACUACUAUUUAAACUGAAAUCGGGGGAUAGCCAUUUUAUAGAGUUUCUGUCAGUCACAAACUACACCAAGUAAUCGUUUUGUGAGUGUGAUCAAUACAACUAAAAAAGUAAGUAAAUAUUUUUGGUAUUUAAUUAUUUGCUACUUCAGAAGUCUUACGUCUUCUUUUAUGUUUUACUGUUGCAAUUUUACCUUAAAGACCUGGAAUGUACUAGCCUAUUUACCUGUAAAUGCUUUUUGUUUCAAGUCUUCUUGUGUAUAUUCUUAUGUAAUUUUUGUAAGUUAUGAGUGUGGUUUGCGUCCUGGUCCACGUUUAUCUUCUAUUACGAGCUGUAGAAACUAGUAAUGAGUUCCGUGUGCGUCCUGGUCCACGUUUACUUUCUAUUACGAGCUGUAGAAACUCAUACGUAAUGCAUCCUAUUAUAUUACUAUGAUGUUGUAGUUUCUACUGUUUCAUCAUUUUCAUGUUUUUUCAUAUUUUAUGUUUUACUGUUGCGAUUUUACCUUAAAGUUCUGAAAUCUACAUAAUAGCGUAUUUGUCGAUAAAUGCUUGUUUGCUUCAAGGCUGUGCAUAUUCUUAAGUUAUGAGUGUGGUUUGCGUCCUGGUCCACGUUUAUCUUCUAUUACGAGCUGUAGAAACUAGUAAUGAGUUCCGUUUGCGUCCUGGUCCACGUUUACCUUCUAUUAUGAGUUGUAGAAACAUCCUAUUGUAUAACUAUGAUUUUGUAGUUUCCGCUUUUCUACCGGUAAAUGCUGUUUGUGUUUCAAGCCCUCAUGUGUGUAUAUUUAGUUAUGAGUUGCGUGUGCCUCCUGGUCCACGUUUAUUACGAGUUGUAGAAAGGCGUACGUAAUGCAUCCUAUUAUUAUAGAAUAAUGAUCUUGUAGUUUCUGCUUUUUCAUCAUUUUAAUGUUUUACUGCUGCGAUUUUACCUUAAAGACCUGAAAUCUACAUAAUAGUGUAUUUACUGGUAAAUCAUUUUUUUCAAACCUUCAUGUGUGUAUAUUCUUAAGUUAUGAGCGUCGUUUGCAUCCUGGUCCACGUUUACCUUCUAUUACGAGCUGUAGAAACUCGUACGUAAUGCAUCCUUAAAAUCUUUUUAAAAUUUCCCGAGAAUCUGGGGAAAAUUGAUUUUCUAUCUUACGCUAAUACACAGGCUCUUAUGGGAGGCGCUGUUGCCAGAUGUUGUGAAAGGCUCAGUUUUGCAGUAGAUCUGGGGAAAUUUUAUUUUUGUGUGCUCGUUCCUGUAUCGCCCUUAUACUAUGAUUAUGUAGUUUCUGUAUGUUUACCAGUUUAAUGUUUUGUAAUAUUUUAUAUUUUACUGUUACAAUUUUACCUCAGCGUAAUGCAUCCUAUUAUAUUACUAUGAUGUUGUAGUUUCUACUGUUUCAUCAUUUUAAUGUUUUUUCAUAUUUUAUGUUUUACUGUUGCGAUUUUACCUUAAAGUUCUGAAAUCUACAUAAUAGCGUAUUUGUCGAUAAAUGCUUGUUUGCUUCAAGCCUGUGCAUAUUCUUAAGUUAUGAGUGUGGUUUGCGUUCUGGUCCACGUUUAUCUUCUAUUACGAGCUGUAGAAACUAGUAAUGAGUUCCGUUUGCGUCCUGGUCCACGUUUACCUUCUAUUAUGAGUUGUAGAAACAUCCUAUUGUAUAACUAUGAUUUUGUAGUUUCCGCUUUUCUACCGGUAAAUGCUGUUUGUGUUUCAAGCCCUCAUGUGUGUAUAUUUAGUUAUGAGUUGCGUGUGCCUCCUGGUCCACGUUUAUUACGAGUUGUAGAAAGGCGUACGUAAUGCAUCCUAUUAUUAUAUAAUAAUGAUCUUGUAGUUUCUGCUUUUUCAUCAUUUUAAUGUUUUACUACUGCGAUUUUACCUUAAAGACCUGAAAUCUACAUAAUAGUGUAUGUGCCGGUAAAUCAUUUUUUUCAAACCUUCAUGUGUGUAUAUUCUUAAGUUAUGAGCGUCGUUUGCAUCCUGGUUCACGUUUACCUUCUAUUACGAGCUGUAGAAACUCGUACGUAAUGCAUCCUUAAAAUCUUUUUAAAAUUUCCCCAGAAUCUGGGGAAAAUUGAUUUUCUAUCUUACGCUAAUACACAGGCUCUUAUGGGAGGCGCUGUUGCCCGAUGUUGUGAAAGGCUCAGUUUUGCAGUAGAUCUGGGGAAAUUUUAUUUUUGUGUGCUCGUUCCUGUAUAGCCCUUAUACUGUGAUUAUGUAGUUUCUGUAUGUUUACCAGUUUAAUGUUUUGUAAUAUUUUAUAUUUUACUGUUACAAUUUUACCUCAGUUUUAGUUUUUUAUCAUUUCAAUGUCAUCUUUUAUGAUUUACUGGUGCAAUUUUCCUCAGACCUGCAAGAGACAGCGUAGCGUGGUAUUCGUGUGUACAUUCUUAAGUUAUGACUUUCGUGUGUAUCCUAGUCCACGUUUACCGGCUAUUAUGAGUUGUUACAACUCGUAUGUAAUGUAUCCUAUUAUAUAGACAUGAUUUUGUAGCCGUAGCUUUUUAUUACGUCAAUGUCUUUUUUCAUAUUUUCACUGUUGCAAUUUUAUUAUAAUUUACUUCAAAAUCAUGUAAUUUUUAAUAAUAGAAUCUGCAAUGUAGCAAAUGAACUUACAUUCGCAAUUAUUUCAGAUGGAUCUAAACAAACUAAACAAAGUUUCUGUUGUUAAGAAAGAAGACAAACCGAUUACAAAACUACAGCAACUGGAAGUUGACAAACCAUAUAAAAUAAUAAACAGUAAAAUCGUCAACACUGCAUUUGGUCAAUCGGUGCUUCUAGAAUUAGAGGAAAGUGUGGUGUUCCUACCGAAGCGGGUUACCGAGGACUACGCCCCCUAUAUAGAUCAGUUGAGGACAGAAAAGUACGCUGUCGUAUUCAGAGGCCUGGUGAGCACGUCGAGCAAGCUAAAUCCUGCAGCGUCAUUCGAAAUAAUUGAAAUUUAAAAAACUAUGUGGAAGAUGGAAAGUCUACAGAAUUUAUGCAUAAGCUCUAUUAUCGAAAACAUACAUGAAAUUUCAAAAUUUAUUAGUAAAUCGCCUUUACCAUGGGUAUUAACGGAGGAAAUAGUUCAAAAAUUUAGUAAAAUUAAAUGGAUGCAAAUUAAAACUAAUCCCGUUCCUUAUGAACAUUUUAAAGUUUGUGACUUUGAGAAUCAUGAUCUAGAAUUGAAUAUUUCACCUGAACUUCGUCAGGCAAUUAUAGAGUGUCAGGAUUUUGAAACUUUUGCACUUAAUGACUACUAUUGCUUAUGGUUUAGGUAUUAUCAAAUACCAAAAUAUAAUUUGCUACUCUGUCGACCAUGUUACAGGGUAUUUAAAAUAAUUUUCUCUGAAAAACAAAAAUGUCUAAAAGCUAAAUCUGAUAAUUUUCAUGUUAGUUGUUUAGCUUCAGACUUACAUUUGAUAUUUAGAAAAAAAUCAUCCUGGUGUCAAAAUGGUUUUUGUGAGGUACUCUUUGAACUAAAGGAUAGAUAUGAUUGUGAGGAGGACUUACACAGGAAUCGUAAUAAAAAAGUAAGAUUCUCAGAUAUUUAAGAUGCUAAUAAAAUUUAAACCUUUUGGUAAAGACGAUCUGUAUAUUUGUAUCAUUUUCGGUAAACAUAUUUUGUACGUUUAUACCUGUAAAAUGUAAAAAAAACUUUCUUGUAAAGUAAUUACUUACCUUUUAGUUGUAUUGAUCAUAAUCACAAAACGUUACUUCGAUUAAACGAAUACGAUUUGCGAUUACGAUUAUCGAUUACUAAUAACGAAUAAAAGACUUUCUUGUAAAA
Molecule: long non-coding RNA, 5439 nt
Organism: Diabrotica virgifera virgifera (western corn rootworm)
Lineage: Eukaryota; Metazoa; Arthropoda; Insecta; Coleoptera; Chrysomelidae
Exons: 2
Source: RefSeq, a predicted model, not a curated record